CAGUCGCCGCGGUAAUACGGAGGGCGCGAGCGUUACCCGGAUUUACUGGGCGUAAAGGGCGUGUAGGCGGCCUGGGGCGUCCCAUGUGAAAGGCCACGGCUCAACCGUGGAGGAGCGUGGGAUACGCUCAGGCUAGAGGGUGGGAGAGGGUGGUGGAAUUCCCGGAGUAGCGAUGAAAUGCGCAGAUACCGGGAGGAACGCCGAUGGCGAAGGCAGCCACCUGGUCCACUUCUGACGCUGAGGCGCGAAAGCGUGGGGAGCAAACCGGAUUAGAUACCCGUGUAGUCCCUGUCUCUUAUAC
Molecule: ribosomal RNA, 301 nt
Filed under: uncultured bacterium
Lineage: Bacteria
Description: partial 16S ribosomal RNA
Rfam family: Bacterial small subunit ribosomal RNA
Source: RNAcentral